This 443-nucleotide ribosomal RNA is filed under the name uncultured bacterium. RNAcentral describes it as "partial 16S ribosomal RNA". It matches the Rfam family "Bacterial small subunit ribosomal RNA", at positions 338 to 795 of the family's 1533-position model. The record is from RNAcentral.
CCUACGGGAGGCAGCAGUGGGGAAUAUUGGGCAAUGGGCGCAAGCCUGACCCAGCAACGCCGCGUGAAGGAAGAAGGCUUUCGGGUUGUAAACUUCUUUUCUCAGGGACGAAGCAAGUGACGGUACCUGAGGAAUAAGCGACGGCUAACUACGUGCCAGCAGCAGCGGUAAUACGGAGGUGGCAAGCGUUAUCCGGAUUUACUGGGUGUCACGGGGGUGUAGGGGGGACUGCACGUCAGAGGUGAAAACCACGGGCUCAACCUUUGGCCUGCAUUUGCAACGGUAGUUCUUGAGUACUGGCGUGGCAGCCGGACUUCCUGGUGUAGCGGUGAAGUGCGUCGAUAUUAGGAGGAGCACCAGUGGCGAAGGCGGUCUGCUGGACAGCACCUGACGCUGAGGCGCGCACGCGUGGGGAGCAAACAGGAUUAGAUACCCUUGUAGUC